This 26-nucleotide non-coding RNA is filed under the name Homo sapiens (human). The record is from RNAcentral. Lineage: Eukaryota; Metazoa; Chordata; Mammalia; Primates; Hominidae.
UGUGAGCCCUUUAGGGAUAUGAUGGU